RNAcentral lists this ribosomal RNA (201 nucleotides) under Escherichia coli. RNAcentral's name for it is "partial 16S ribosomal RNA". It matches the Rfam family "Bacterial small subunit ribosomal RNA", at positions 1 to 209 of the family's 1533-position model. The record is from RNAcentral. Lineage: Bacteria; Pseudomonadati; Pseudomonadota; Gammaproteobacteria; Enterobacterales; Enterobacteriaceae. RNAcentral also lists the same sequence under 1 other name.
AAAUUGAAGAGUUUGAUCAUGGCUCAGAUUGAACGCUGGCGGCAGGCCUAACACAUGCAAGUCGAACGGUAACAGGAAGCAGCUUGCUGUUUCGCUGACGAGUGGCGGACGGGUGAGUAAUGUCUGGGAAACUGCCUGAUGGAGGGGGAUAACUACUGGAAACGGUAGCUAAUACCGCAUAACGUCGCAAGACCAAAGAGG